AUACGUAGGUGGCGAGCGUUAUCCGGAAUUACUGGGUGUAAAGGGUGUGUAGGCGGGAUUGCAAGUCAGGCGUGAAAUGGGGAGGCUCAACCAUCCAGCUGCGCUUGAAACUGUAAUUCUUGAGAGUGGGAGAGGUAAACGGAAUUCCUGGUGUAGUAGUGAAAUGCGUAGAUAUCAGGAGGAACACCGGUGGCGAAGGCGGUUUACUGGACCACAAAGGACGCUGAGACACGAAAGCGUGGGGAGCAAACAGGGUUAGAUACCCUGGUAGUCCACGCUGUAAACGAUGAAUACUAGGUGUAGGGUCCGCAGGGAUUCUGGGCCGGAGUUAACACAAUAAGGAUUCCACCUGGGGAGUACGGCCGCAAGGUUGAAACUCAAAUGAAUUGACGGGG
RNAcentral lists this ribosomal RNA (395 nucleotides) under uncultured bacterium. Its description in RNAcentral is "partial 16S ribosomal RNA". It matches the Rfam family "Bacterial small subunit ribosomal RNA", at positions 523 to 918 of the family's 1533-position model. The record is from RNAcentral.